CCUACGGGUGGCAGCAGUGAGGAAUAUUGGUCAAUGGCCGGAAGGCUGAACCAGCCAUGCCGCGUGAAGGUCAGUGCCCUAUGGGCGUUAAACUUCUUUUGUGCGGGAGCAAUAAUGGUCACGUGUGGCCAGACGAGAGUACCGUACGAAUAAGCAUCGGCUAACUCCGUGCCAGCAGCCGCGGUAAUACGGGGGAUGCAAGCGUUAUCCGGAUUUAUUGGGUUUAAAGGGUGCGUAGGCUGGGAGGUAAGUCAGCGGUGAAAUGCCCCCGCUCAACCAUAAAAUUGCCGUUGAAACUGGAAGACUUGAGUGUGUUUGAGGUAGGCGGAAUGCGUGGUGUAGCGGUGAAAUGCAUAGAUAUCACGCAGAACUCCGAUUGCGAAGGCAGCUUACUAAGCCAUAACUGACACUGAAGCACGAAAGCGUGGGGAUCAAACAGGAUUAGAUACCCCAGUAGUC
RNAcentral lists this ribosomal RNA (459 nucleotides) under uncultured bacterium. Its description in RNAcentral is "partial 16S ribosomal RNA". It matches the Rfam family "Bacterial small subunit ribosomal RNA", at positions 338 to 795 of the family's 1533-position model. The record is from RNAcentral.